AGUCGAACGAUGAUCCCAGCUUGCUGGGGGAUUAGUGGCGAACGGGUGAGUAACACGUGAGUAACCUGCCCUUAACUCUGGGAUAAGCCUGGGAAACUGGGUCUAAUACCGGAUAUGACUCCUCAUCGCAUGGUGGGGGGUGGAAAGCUUUAUUGUGGUUUUGGAUGGACUCGCGGCCUAUCAGCUUGUUGGUGAGGUAAUGGCUCACCAAGGCGACGACGGGUAGCCGGCCUGAGAGGGUGACCGGCCACACUGGGACUGAGACACGGCCCAGACUCCUACGGGAGGCAGCAGUGGGGAAUAUUGCACAAUGGGCGAAAGCCUGAUGCAGCGACGCCGCGUGAGGGAUGACGGCCUUCGGGUUGUAAACCUCUUUCAGUAGGGAAGAAGCGAAAGUGACGGUACCUGCAGAAGAAGCGCCGGCUAACUACGUGCCAGCAGCCGCGGUAAUACGUAGGGCGCAAGCGUUAUCCGGAAUUAUUGGGCGUAAAGAGCUCGUAGGCGGUUUGUCGCGUCUGCCGUGAAAGUCCGGGGCUCAACUCCGGAUCUGCGGUGGGUACGGGCAGACUAGAGUGAUGUAGGGGAGACUGGAAUUCCUGGUGUAGCGGUGAAAUGCGCAGAUAUCAGGAGGAACACCGAUGGCGAAGGCAGGUCUCUGGGCAUUAACUGACGCUGAGGAGCGAAAGCAUGGGGAGCGAACAGGAUUAGAUACCCUGGUAGUCCAUGCCGUAAACGUUGGGCACUAGGUGUGGGGGACAUUCCACGUUUUCCGCGCCGUAGCUAACGCAUUAAGUGCCCCGCCUGGGGAGUACGGCCGCAAGGCUAAAACUCAAAGGAAUUGACGGGGGCCCGCACAAGCGGCGGAGCAUGCGGAUUAAUUCGAUGCAACGCGAAGAACCUUACCAAGGCUUGACAUGAACCGGAAAUACCUGGAAACAGGUGCCCCGCUUGCGGUCGGUUUACAGGUGGUGCAUGGUUGUCGUCAGCUCGUGUCGUGAGAUGUUGGGUUAAGUCCCGCAACGAGCGCAACCCUCGUUCUAUGUUGCCAGCGCGUUAUGGCGGGGACUCAUAGGAGACUGCCGGGGUCAACUCGGAAGAAGGUGGGGACGACGUCAAAUCAUCAUGCCCCUUAUGUCUUGGGCUUCACGCAUGCUACAAUGGCCGGUACAAAGGGUUGCGAUACUGUGAGGUGGAACUAAUCCCAAAAACCCGG
Molecule: ribosomal RNA, 1213 nt
Filed under: Arthrobacter sp. UA-JF3703
Lineage: Bacteria; Bacillati; Actinomycetota; Actinomycetes; Micrococcales; Micrococcaceae
Description: bacterial SSU rRNA
Rfam family: Bacterial small subunit ribosomal RNA
Source: RNAcentral